This 253-nucleotide ribosomal RNA is filed under the name uncultured prokaryote. Its description in RNAcentral is "partial 16S ribosomal RNA". It matches the Rfam family "Bacterial small subunit ribosomal RNA", at positions 524 to 776 of the family's 1533-position model. The record is from RNAcentral.
UACGUAGGUGGCAAGCGUUGUCCGGAUUUAUUGGGUUUAAAGGGUGCGUAGGCGGUCUGUUAAGUCAGUGGUGAAAUACGGCAGCUCAACUGUCGAGGUGCCAUUGAUACUGGCGGACUUGAGUACUGAUGAGGUAGGCGGAAUGGACGGUGUAGCGGUGAAAUGCAUAGAUAUCGUCCAGAACACCGAUAGCGAAGGCAGCUUACUAAGGAGUAACUGACGCUGAGGCACGAAAGUGUGGGGAUCAAACAGG